This 85-nucleotide transfer RNA is filed under the name Rhodospirillaceae bacterium. RNAcentral's name for it is "tRNA-Leu". It matches the Rfam family "tRNA". Rfam says of the family: Transfer RNA (tRNA) molecules are approximately 80 nucleotides in length. Their secondary structure includes four short double-helical elements and three loops (D, anti-codon, and T loops). Further hydrogen bonds mediate the characteristic L-shaped molecular structure. tRNAs have two regions of fundamental functional importance: the anti-codon, which is responsible for specific mRNA codon recognition, and the 3' end, to which the tRNAs corresponding amino acid is attached (by aminoacyl-tRNA synthetases). tRNAs cope with the degeneracy of the genetic code in two manners: having more than one tRNA (with a specific anti-codon) for a particular amino acid; and 'wobble' base-pairing, i.e. permitting non-standard base-pairing at the 3rd anti-codon position. Lineage: Bacteria; Pseudomonadati; Pseudomonadota; Alphaproteobacteria; Rhodospirillales; Rhodospirillaceae. The record is from RNAcentral.
GCGGGCGUGGCGGAAUUGGCAGACGCGCUGGAUUUAGGUUCCAGUGGGGAAACCCGUGGGGGUUCGAGUCCCUUCGCCCGCACCA